UACGGGGGGGGCAAGCGUUGUUCGGAAUUACUGGGCGUAAAGGGCUCGUAGGUGGCCAACUAAGUCAGACGUGAAAUCCCUCGGCUUAACCGGGGAACUGCGUCUGAUACUGGAUGGCUUGAGAUUGGGAGAGGGAUGCGGAAUUCCAGGUGUAGCGGUGAAAUGCGUAGAUAUCUGGAGGAACACCGGUGGCGAAGGCGGCAUCCUGGACCAACACUGACACUGAGCAGCGAAAGCCAGGGGAGCAAACGGG
Molecule: ribosomal RNA, 253 nt
Filed under: uncultured bacterium
Lineage: Bacteria
Description: partial 16S ribosomal RNA
Rfam family: Bacterial small subunit ribosomal RNA
Source: RNAcentral